UGGGCUGAAAUCCUGGGACUCCUGUUGGUGGCUGCUGCAGCUCCAUGUGUAACUAAACCUUCCCUUGCCUAAAGUGCUGCUUGGGGAAUUUGAUUCCCAACCGCUAUUUAUGGCUAUUGAUUUCUGCACUUCUUAUUACCACAGUUCCCUUUCAAGUUUUGUUUCAGCUCAUAAGAAACCAUCUGAAAAAGAAUGGGGAAGAAUGGAGUUGGAUGUAGGCACCGCAUCUCCAGAGUUCAAAGAUUUAACAGGAGCUGCCGGAGAUAGCAAAGACACUUCAGA
Nothoprocta perdicaria is the source of this 282-nucleotide long non-coding RNA. RefSeq lists it as uncharacterized. NCBI's taxonomy places the organism in Eukaryota, Metazoa, Chordata, Aves, Tinamiformes, Tinamidae. The transcript has 3 exons. The record is from RefSeq and is a predicted model, not a curated record.